This 207-nucleotide ribosomal RNA is filed under the name Candidatus Omnitrophota bacterium. RNAcentral describes it as "partial 16S ribosomal RNA". It matches the Rfam family "Bacterial small subunit ribosomal RNA", at positions 1316 to 1533 of the family's 1533-position model. Lineage: Bacteria; Pseudomonadati; Candidatus Omnitrophota. The record is from RNAcentral.
CUCCAUGAAGACGGAAUCGCUAGUAAUGGCGGAUCAGCUAUGCCGCCGUGAAUACGUUCCCGGGCCUUGUACACACCGCCCGUCAAGCGAUGGGAGCUGGGGGUACCUGAAAUCCCUGAUUUUUCAGGGCUGAAGGUAAAACCAGUGACUGGCGCUAAGUCGUAACAAGGUAGCCGUACCGGAAGGUGCGGCUGGAUCACCUCCUUU